This is a long non-coding RNA of Triticum aestivum (bread wheat), 2548 nucleotides long. RefSeq lists it as uncharacterized. The transcript is spliced from 3 exons. Lineage: Eukaryota; Viridiplantae; Streptophyta; Magnoliopsida; Poales; Poaceae. The record is from RefSeq and is a predicted model, not a curated record.
AGUUGUAUCAGAUUUCUUACAUCAUGGACAUGUUCCCAGUAGCUGUGUACAAAUAGUUUCUACUACUGCUUCCCUCUUUUCCUUGUUUGUUCUGAAUGUGCAGCUAUACACAAUGUGUAGAAGUGUAAUAAUAUUGAAGUAGUAGCACUGAACUAUUCUGUCAGUUAGAACAAAGCAUCAAUUUUUAAUUGCUUUGAUCUAAUAACAUAAAAAAAACAUAAGCUUUGGAGUAGCAGCACUGAACUAUUCUGUCAGUAGCAACACUGAACUAUUUUGUCAGUUAGAACAAAGCAUCAAUUUUCUGUCAGUUUGAAGGUUAUUUACUUUGAUCUAAUAACAGCAAAAACCUGAAUAAGUUGUUUAGUUGAGCUUUGGAGUUCAUUUUAAGUCUUUGUUUGUUGAGUUGAUGCCCCAUUUUUGUUUUUGUUUUGCGAAAUACGAGAUGUGGACAGAACAUGUGCUAUGCUUUUAUGAUAUAGACUUAUGGCAAAGAUGUGGACAAAGCACGUGCUAUGCAAUAUCUCACUUAAAUUAAUAUCUCUAUGUUACUAACAGUUUGCUCUUGUUUACAAAUGCAGUGUAUAUUUGAGUGGGUGUAUUUCCUACAGUAUUCCAACUUAUAUUUUAUUAGGUGACUCUAGCUUAACCCUUAUUAAUUUUACAAGGUGAUAUUUGUAAUUUUUUUAGGCUUAGUGUCACCUAUUGUCGGCCUCCUCUACAUCCUAUCCAAGUGCCGCCUCCUCUACUUCUUUGCCCCAACUGAGAGCAUUUGACAGGAGAAAGGUGCGACGGCGCCCGGGUGCCCCGGCACCCGGUUAUCCCGUCCGUCCAGCGGCACGAGGAUCCGUGCUGAGCACUGUAGAGGCGCAGAUGGGUCACUGUAGAGGCGCAGAGUGGUUGCAGCAUUAGAGUAUUUUGGACCCUUUUUAAAGGAGACAAAGACAGAAGGGAAGGGGCGGUAGGUUUCAGAGUUAGGCAGGGCAGGUCUAGGCAUGUCAGGAAUCAUUUGAUCCCACGAGAUGGAUGAAACGACAGCAUACAGCUGCUGCAUGCGCCCGUUCAUUUUAGAGGAGAUUCUCGUUCGCCACGUGUUGUUAUGCUUGCUCACUCCAGCUUCCAGCUUCUCUUCUGGGAUGUUUUUAAUUAGGAUGUUUCUCCUGGGAUUUAAGUGAGAGAGAGAGAGAGUAAACAGAGAAAAAUAAUCUUCGAUCUGAGAGGAGCUGUGUGAGAGAGACAAGAAUUUCUUAGGACGCUUCUUUUCCUGAAUUUUAAAAGAAAAAAGGAAGAGAGAGAGAGAGAGGUGCUGUGAGACGUCAGACUCAAAGGAAGAGAAAAGGAAGAGAGAGAGGUGUUGUGUGUCAGAGAGAGAGGUGAUGUGAGAGAUAGAAUAAAAAUAUAGAAUGAAGAGAUGUAUUGCGUGACAGUCUAAGAGAGGAAAGGACAGAAAUGUGGACCGACACCGUUUGCAUUUUUCUUUACUACUGGCUGAGAUGUCAUAUCCUGCUGCUCCAUUUGAAAUCCUCUCAGAUUCCCUUGAUUAACAACCAGUACAUCUGCUAAUCUGUUGUUUGCUACAGUACACGACACAUAUCCCCAAAGACUGGAAUCUGUACAAACUGUGCUGAUAAGGGGGUGCCUAGGCACCCGGGUGCUGAAAAUCCACUCUCCAUUUGACAGAGUAUGCAGCUGAAAGUGGAUUCUAAGUUCAUGGAAAAAGCAGCAGUGCGACCACAAGCAAACUAAGGAGGUCAUAAUCUUGAAAGUGCUAGUGCAGUGGAUAAGAACAUCGGUACAUGUGAUUGGGAGCCCAAAAGACUAAUAAGAAGGUACUCCCUCUGUAAAGAACUAGAAGAGUGUUUAGAUAACUAUUUUAGUGAUCCUAUGAUGUCAAAAAUUCAUACAAGUUGUGGAUGUCACUUCUUUUUGUCACUUCCUAUUUUGUCUUAUGUGCAGUUUUCUAGACGACAUUCUAUGGAAUUUUCACAUACAUGAAACUGAAAUUAAUAUCAGAGGUAAUCAGAUGAUGUAAUUGUGGUCAACUAGAUUUGCUUAAUUUGUGUGUCAAGGCCUGAAACUGCUGACAUUUUAUAGUUUCCUAUUAAAUUGAAUAUUCACUUGAUGCCUUUAAGGAAGUUGAUGAGAAAUUCUCUUGAUGAUGUAGACGUCUUUGUUAUAAAAAAGUGGGAAUGGUGCACUCAUUAUAUUCUUUGAGUGUUGUAAAUCAAUGUAUGCAGAUCAUGUUUUAUAAUACAUGUACUUUCAAUUGUUCUCUUCUUGUUCAGGUUGGAGAUGUCCCCGAAGACUGGUCAAGAUACCUUGCUGUAACCAUAUGCUCCGAGCUCAAGUAGAAGACUUACAAGCUUUACUCUCUGUGCUAGUUCCAUUCUGUACAACUUGGACGUCUUCAAACUGCAUCUGCUAAAUUAUGAUGCAAUUCUUUAUGUGUAAUCUGUGAAUAGCAUACAUUGUAACGAUGUAAAUGUUUGACUAUGAGAAUUUAUAAUAUAAAUGUGAAGUACAUGUGCAGUUUCCUUCUGCCUUAUUUGAA